CGUUCCAUCUGGAAGAAUCUGGAGACAGGUGCUGCAUGGCUGUCGUCAGCUCGUGUCGUGAGAUGUUGGGUUAAGUCCCGCAACGAGCGCAACCCUUGCCUUUAGUUGCCAGCAGUUCGGCUGGGCACUCUAAAGGGACUGCCGGUGUUAAACCGGAGGAAGGUGGGGAUGACGUCAAGUCCUCAUGGCCUUUAUGGCCAGGGCUACACACGUACUACAAUGGCCGAUACAAAGGGCAGCGACACUGCGAGGUGAAGCCAAUCCCGUAAAAUCGGUCUCAGUCCGGAUUGGAGUCUGCAACUCGACUCCAUGAAGUUGGAAUCGCUAGUAAUCGUGGAUCGGCAUGCCACGGUGAAUACGUUCCCGGGCCUU
RNAcentral lists this ribosomal RNA (372 nucleotides) under uncultured Desulfobulbus sp. RNAcentral describes it as "bacterial SSU rRNA". It matches the Rfam family "Bacterial small subunit ribosomal RNA", at positions 1013 to 1382 of the family's 1533-position model. Lineage: Bacteria; Pseudomonadati; Thermodesulfobacteriota; Desulfobulbia; Desulfobulbales; Desulfobulbaceae. The record is from RNAcentral.